RNAcentral lists this ribosomal RNA (447 nucleotides) under uncultured bacterium. Its description in RNAcentral is "partial 16S ribosomal RNA". It matches the Rfam family "Bacterial small subunit ribosomal RNA", at positions 29 to 523 of the family's 1533-position model. The record is from RNAcentral.
AACGAACGCUGGCGGCAGGCCUAACACAUGCAAGUCGAGCGAACCUUCGGGUUAGCGGCGGACGGGUUAGUAACGCGUGGGAACGUGCCCUUCUCUACGGAAUAGCCCAGGGAAACUUGGAGUAAUACCGUAUACGCCCUUUGGGGGAAAGAUUUAUCGGAGAAGGAUCGGCCCGCGUUGGAUUAGGUAGUUGGUGGGGUAAUGGCCUACCAAGCCGACGAUCCAUAGCUGGUUUGAGAGGAUGAUCAGCAACACUGGGACUGAGACACGGCCCAGACUCCUACGGGAGGCAGCAGUGGGGAAUUUUAGACAAUGGGGGAAACCCUGAUCUAGCCAUGCCGCGUGAGUGAUGAAGGCCUUAGGGUUGUAAAGCUCUUUCAGCUGGGAAGAUAAUGACGGUACCAGCAGAAGAAGCCCCGGCUAACUCCGUGCCAGCAGCCGCCGUAA